CGCAGGGUGGAAGAAAUGGAGAAAUUUAUACAAUUUCAGGACAGAGAGAUGAAAGAGUAUGUAGCUGAGAGAGAUGGGCUUAUUAAAGCACAUGAGGAGAAGUUUGCCGCAAUGAAGAGGAGGCACUGGGAAGAAGAGUUUGCGUUAGAAAAGGAGUUUGAUGCUGAACUGACGUCCUUGAUGGAGAAGUACACUCCAAACUCGCAUACCAAACAAGGAUGUAACAAUGUUUGAUAUUUUACUUUUUUCUGAGAUACAACCACCAAAGAGUAGGAAAAAUAUAUGAAGGCCAAAAGCCAGUUUCUAGUCAUUUGAGUCGGUAUAGACUUUGCUUCAUGUGCAUGCAUGCUUGAAGAUUUCUUAAAAUUUUAGUUUGGGAGUAAGCUGGCUGCUCUCUUUAUUACUUUCAAUGUUUACCCAGCUAUGAGCUUUGGGUUUGAUUGAUAGUAAUAAAGAGAGCAGCCAGCU
This 468-nucleotide unclassified non-coding RNA is filed under the name Hevea brasiliensis (rubber tree). The record is from RNAcentral. Lineage: Eukaryota; Viridiplantae; Streptophyta; Magnoliopsida; Malpighiales; Euphorbiaceae.